GAGUUUGAUCCUGGCUCAGAACGAACGCUGGCGGCGUGGAUAAGACAUGCAAGUCGAACGGGACAUUAUUUGUAGCAAUACAGAUGAUGUUCAAGUGGCGAAAGGGUGCGUAACACGUGGGCAAUCUACCGAGAAGUGGGGGAUAGCUCGCCGAAAGGCGAAUUAAUACCGCAUAUGACCCUGGGUAUCCUUACCUGGGCGUCAAAGCCGGGGCAACCUGGCGCUUCCUGAUGAGCCCGCGGCCUAUCAGCUAGUUGGUGAGGUAACGGCUCACCAAGGCUAUGACGAGUAGCUGGUCUGAGAGGACGACCAGCCACACUGGAACUGAGACACGGUCCAGACACCUACGGGUGGCAGCAGUCGAGAAUUUUUCACAAUGGGGGAAACCCUGAUGGAGCGACGCCGCGUGGAGGAUGAAGGUCUUCGGAUUGUAAACUCCUGUCAUUGGUGAACAAGAUCGGCCGGGUAACUCCGUUGCCGGUUUGCUAGUAGCCGAAGAGGAAGGGACGGCUAACUCUGUGCCAGCAGCCGCGGUAAUACAGAGGUCCCGAGCGUUGUUCGGAUUUAUUGGGCGUAAAGGGUGCGUANGCGGCGGAGUAAGUUGGGUGUGAAAUCCCGGGGCUUAACCUCGGAAUGGCAUUCAAUACUGCUUCGCUAGAGUACUGGAGAGGAGGCUGGAAUUUACGGUGUAGCAGUGAAAUGCGUAGAUAUCGUAAGGAAGGCCGGUGGCGAAAGCGAGCCUCUGGACAGUUACUGACGCUGAUGCACGAAGGCCAGGGGAGCAAACGGGAUUAGAUACCCCGGUAGUCCUGGCAGUAAACGGUGCGCGUUUGGUGUGGGGGGAUUCGACAAUCUCCGCGCCGGAGCUAACGCGUUAAACGCGCCGCCUGGGAAAUACGGUCGCAAGAUUAAAACUCAAAGAAAUUGACGGGGGCCCGCACAAGCGGUGGAGUAUGUGGCUUAAUUCGAUGCAACGCGAAGAACCUUACCUAGGCUUGACAUGCAUCGCUAAGUUGGUGAAAGCCAGCGAGUCCCGCAAGGGAUACUUUGCA
RNAcentral lists this ribosomal RNA (1052 nucleotides) under agricultural soil bacterium SC-I-26. RNAcentral describes it as "bacterial SSU rRNA". It matches the Rfam family "Bacterial small subunit ribosomal RNA", at positions 9 to 1034 of the family's 1533-position model. The record is from RNAcentral.